This 445-nucleotide ribosomal RNA is filed under the name Streptococcus cristatus. Its description in RNAcentral is "bacterial SSU rRNA". It matches the Rfam family "Bacterial small subunit ribosomal RNA", at positions 28 to 465 of the family's 1533-position model. Lineage: Bacteria; Bacillati; Bacillota; Bacilli; Lactobacillales; Streptococcaceae. The record is from RNAcentral.
GACGAACGCUGGCGGCGUGCCUAAUACAUGCAAGUAGAACGCUGAAGGGAGAGCUUGCUCUUCUGGAUGAGUUGCGAACGGGUGAGUAACGCGUAGGUAACCUGCCUGGUAGCGGGGGAUAACUAUUGGAAACGAUAGCUAAUACCGCAUAACAUUGAUUAUUGCAUGAUAGUCAAUUGAAAGGUGCAAAUGCACCACUACCAGAUGGACCUGCGUUGUAUUAGCUAGUUGGUGGGGUAACGGCUCACCAAGGCGACGAUACAUAGCCGACCUGAGAGGGUGAUCGGCCACACUGGGACUGAGACACGGCCCAGACUCCUACGGGAGGCAGCAGUAGGGAAUCUUCGGCAAUGGACGGAAGUCUGACCGAGCAACGCCGCGUGAGUGAAGAAGGUUUUCGGAUCGUAAAGCUCUGUUGUAAGAGAAGAACGAGUGUGAGAGUGGA